AGAGUUUGAUCCUGGCUCAGGACGAACGCUGGCGGCGUGCCUAACACAUGCAAGUCGAACGGGAUUAAGAGAGCUUGCUUUCUUAAUUUAGUGGCGGACGGGUGAGUAACGCGUAAGAAGCUGUCCGAUGCAGGGGGACAACAGACGGAAACAUCUGCUAAUACCCCAUAAGCCUAAGGGUAAAAGAAUAAUCGGCAUCGGAGGUGCUUGCGUCCUAUCAGCUAGUAGGGGCGGUAAAAGCGCACCUAGGCGAAGACGGGUAGCCGGACUGAGAGGUUGGACGGCCACAUUGGAACUGAGACACGGUCCAGACUCCUACGGGAGGCAGCAGUGGGGAAUAUUGGGCAAUGGGGGCAACCCUGACCCAGCGACGCCACGUGAGUGAAGAAAUCCCUCGGGAUGUAAAGCUCUGUUGUACGGGACGAGAGAGAGACGGUACCGUACGAGGAAGCCCCGGCAAACUACGUGCCAGCAGCCGCGGUAAUACGUAGGGGGCGAGCGUUGUCCGGAAUUACUGGGCGUAAAGCGCACGCAGGCUGAUUGUUAAGUCAGAUGUAAAAUAGUGAGGCUCAACUUCAUUAUGCGUCUGAUACUGGCAGUCUAGAGUAUGUGAGAGGAAAGCGGAUUUCCUGGUGUAGCGGUGAAAUGCGUAGAUAUCCGGAGGAAACACCCGGUGGCGAAAGCGGCUUUUCUGCCCAAAGACUGACGCUCAUGUGCGGAAAGCCAGGGAAGCGAACGGGAUUAGAUACCUCGGGUAGUCCUGGCCGUAAACGAUGGAUACUAGGUGUGGGUGUCGCAGGGGCAUCCGUGCCGGAGUUAACGCGAUAAGUAUCCCGCCUGGGAACUACGGCCGCAAGGCUGAAACUCAAAGGAAUUGACGGGGGCCCGCACAAGCGGUGGAGCACGUGGUUUAAUUCGAUGCAAACCGAAGAACCUUACCUGGAUUUGACAUACAUGUGGUAGUGAAGGGAAACUGGAACGACCUUAGCUUGCUAAGGAGCAUGAACAGGUGCUGCAUGGUUGUCGUCAGCUCGUGUCGUGAGAUGUUGGGUUAAGUCCCGCAACGAGCGCAACCCCUAUGGUCAGUUGCUAACAGGAGAGCUGAGCACUCUGGCGAGACUGCCGCCGACAAGGCGGAGGAAGGUGGGGACGACGUCAAAUCAUCAUGGCCUUUAUGUCCAGGGCGACACACGUGCUACAAUGGCCGGCACAGACGGAAGCGACUUUGCGAAAAGGAGCGGAUCCUCGAAAGCCGGUCCCAGUUCGGACUGCAGUCUGCAACUCGACUGCACGAAGUCGGAAUCGCUAGUAAUCGCAGAUCAGCCAAGCUGCGGUGAAUACGUUCCCGGGCCUUGCACACACCGCCCGUCA
Molecule: ribosomal RNA, 1371 nt
Filed under: uncultured bacterium
Lineage: Bacteria
Description: 16S ribosomal RNA
Rfam family: Bacterial small subunit ribosomal RNA
Source: RNAcentral